RNAcentral lists this ribosomal RNA (694 nucleotides) under uncultured bacterium. RNAcentral's name for it is "bacterial SSU rRNA". It matches the Rfam family "Bacterial small subunit ribosomal RNA", at positions 32 to 715 of the family's 1533-position model. The record is from RNAcentral.
AACGCUAGCUACAGGCUUAACACAUGCAAGUCGAGGGGCAGCAUGAUUGAAGCUUGCUUCAAUUGAUGGCGACCGGCGCACGGGUGAGUAACACGUACCCAACCUUCCGUACACUCAGGGAUAGCCUUUCGAAAGAAAGAUUAAUACCUGAUGGUAUCUUAAGCACACAUGUAAUUAAGAUUAAAGAUUUAUCGGUGUACGAUGGGGAUGCGUUCCAUUAGGUAGAUGGCGGGGUAACGGCCCACCAUGCCUACGAUGUCUAGGGGUUCUGAGAGGAAGGUCCCCCACACUGGAACUGAGACACGGUCCAGACUCCUACGGGAGGCAGCAGUGAGGAAUAUUGGUCAAUGGUCGGAAGACUGAACCAGCCAAGUAGCGUGAAGGAUGAGGGUUCUAUGGAUUGUAAACUUCUUUUAUACGGGAAUAAAACACCUUACGUGUAGGGUCUUGUAUGUACCGUAUGAAUAAGCAUCGGCUAACUCCGUGCCAGCAGCCGCGGUAAUACGGAGGAUGCGAGCGUUAUCCGGAUUUAUUGGGUUUAAAGGGAGCGUAGACGGGAGAUUAAGUCAGUUGUGAAAGGCUGCGGCUCAACCGCAGCACUGCAGUUGAUACUGGUUUCCUUGAGUGCGGUUGAGGUGUAUGGAAUUCGUGGUGUAGCGGUGAAAUGCUUAGAUAUCACGAAGAACUCCGAUUG